This is an unclassified non-coding RNA of Ictidomys tridecemlineatus (thirteen-lined ground squirrel), 285 nucleotides long. Its record names the gene 7SK. It matches the Rfam family "7SK RNA". Rfam says of the family: 7SK was discovered as an abundant small nuclear RNA in the mid-70s but a possible function has only recently been suggested. Two independent studies have found that 7SK RNA binds the CDK9/cyclin T complex (known as elongation factor P-TEFb). P-TEFb activates transcription by phosphorylating the C-terminal domain of RNA polymerase II. The record is from Ensembl. NCBI's taxonomy places the organism in Eukaryota, Metazoa, Chordata, Mammalia, Rodentia, Sciuridae.
GGAUUGGUGGGGGGGGGUGAGGGCCCAUUGAUUGCCAGGGUUUAUUCAGCUGCUGGCUGACUGAAUGGGUGUCCCCCUUCCUCUUUGACCACUCCAAGUGUGUCCCUCCUGAAGCUGCCCACAUGGUUGAAGAGGUCAGCCUUCCCUGAUAGAGGAAGAGCAUUCUUGGGUCAAGGUUACACAGGUAGCUGCACUCUCCUACUAGAAUCUCUAAACAAGUUUUCAAGGGAAUGAGGGCAUGUUCAGAAAAAUCUUAGUUUCCAUUCUGAGCUCAAGAAAAUCUCA